UGAGGAAUAUUGCACAAUGGAGGAAACUCUGAUGCAGCAACGCCGCGUGGAGGAUGACGCAUUUCGGUGUGUAAACUCCUUUUAUUAGGGAAGAUAAUGACGGUACCUAAUGAAUAAGCACCGGCUAACUCCGUGCCAGCAGCCGCGGUAAUACGGAGGGUGCAAGCGUUACUCGGAAUCACUGGGCGUAAAGGGUGCGUAGGCUGGCUUCUAAGUCAGAUGUGAAAUCCAAUGGCUUAACCAUUGAACUGCAUUUGAAACUGGGAGCCUAGAGUUCAGAAGGGGCAGAUGGAAUUAGUGGUGUAGGGGUAAAAUCCGUAGAUAUCACUAGGAAUAUCAAAAGCGAAGGCGAUCUGCUGGGAUGAUACUGACGCUGAGGCACGAAAGCGUGGGGAACAAACA
RNAcentral lists this ribosomal RNA (402 nucleotides) under uncultured prokaryote. Its description in RNAcentral is "bacterial SSU rRNA". It matches the Rfam family "Bacterial small subunit ribosomal RNA", at positions 355 to 774 of the family's 1533-position model. The record is from RNAcentral.